RNAcentral lists this ribosomal RNA (407 nucleotides) under Histophilus somni. RNAcentral describes it as "bacterial SSU rRNA". It matches the Rfam family "Bacterial small subunit ribosomal RNA", at positions 441 to 849 of the family's 1533-position model. Lineage: Bacteria; Pseudomonadati; Pseudomonadota; Gammaproteobacteria; Pasteurellales; Pasteurellaceae. The record is from RNAcentral.
GAAGGCGAUUAGUUUAAGAGAUUAAUUGAUUGACGAUAAUCACAGAAGAAGCACCGGCUAACUCCGUGCCAGCAGCCGCGGUAAUACGGAGGGUGCGAGCGUUAAUCGGAAUGACUGGGCGUAAAGGGCACGCAGGUGGUGACUUAAGUGAGGUGUGAAAUCCCCGGGCUUAACCUGGGAACAGCAUUUCAGACUGGGUGACUAGAGUACUUUAGGGAGGGGUAGAAUUCCACGUGUAGCGGUGAAAUGCGUAGAGAUGUGGAGGAAUACCGAAGGCGAAGGCAGCCCCUUGGGAAGAUACUGACGCUCGAGUGCGAAAGCGUGGGGAGCAAACAGGAUUAGAUACCCUGGUAGUCCACGCUGUAAACGAUGUCGAUUUGGGGAUUGGGUGAACACUUGGUGCCCGA